RNA transcript from Cyclopterus lumpus (lumpfish), 2435 nucleotides. It is a transcript of the gene named branched chain keto acid dehydrogenase E1 subunit beta, with no coding region annotated. The record is from RefSeq and is a predicted model, not a curated record. NCBI's taxonomy places the organism in Eukaryota, Metazoa, Chordata, Actinopteri, Perciformes, Cyclopteridae. The transcript has 11 exons.
AGUUAUUACAACAACAGCGAUGGCGGCCGCUGCACGAUUCUUCGUCCGAGGGGCAAACUCGAAACUUUCCAUCUCUGGUGUUGGCACCGGCACCCACAGCCCCUUUGCAGCCGCUCUGCUGAAGCUGUCGCCGAGCUCCAGCUCCGGCGUCCCCACAAAAACACAACGGAGACACGCGCACUUCUCCUUCCAGGCUGACCCCGCGCCGACACAGUAUGGCCCCACCGAGAAGAUGAACAUGUUCCAGUCGGUUACAAGUGCUUUGGACAACACUCUCGCCAGCGAUCCAACAGCAGUCAUCUUUGGGGAAGACGUUGCCUUCGGUGGAGUAUUCCGAUGCACAGUGGGUCUGAGAGACAAAUACGGUAAGCUCUUCUUCCACUGCCUGCAUUUAAACGAGCUUGCCGCUAGGUGGCAGCAGAGGACCGUGAAAAGAUCUGCCUACUUCCUCUCUCGCAAGGUCGUUUUUACUGUUCACUGUUCACCUCGAGGACCAGAAGGAUCCGUUUGCGCUCAUUUGUCCUCUGGAGCCGGGGAGCCCAACCAGCGAGAUACAGCAGAGCUGAUAAAGUUUGAGUUUGCUUUUUUUCACUCUGGUGCUCAAAUGUUGCUUGAGGCGUUGCUAAAGUAGUGCAUCAGGCCCAUCUAGUUUGCACGAACCAAGUGCUCCUGUUAAUAUGCCUCACGUGAAUAUGAUUGGAGUCUUUUUUAAAGGGUGAAUUAGCUCUGAAUUGCGUACAGACAUGAAGGUCGACACUGCGCUGCUCUUUCCAGCAGGCAGCAGUUGCGUUACCGGUCACAGGUGCCAUUUAUAGAUUUUGACAAUGGCUCCGUUCUGUUCAAGUGUCCCGAGGAAGCGGUGACAUUGAGACAGAGCGCGCGGUGCCAGGAACCUGACGACCAAAGCAGCUAAAUGGAAUGCAGCAGCCGCUCAUUUCAUUGUACACCUGUGCUUUUAGUACCCCCCCCCCCCCCCCCUAUUGCCGCUUGCUUCGAAGUUGCUCCCGCGGUUGAUUUAAAUCAGUAGUUUAAGUGUCUUCCUGUCUGUGAGGAUUUUCCCUUCAAAGGAAACCAGCAGUUCCUGUUUGAUUCUGAGUAGGGAUGCAGCGACACCAUUUCUUCACACCCAAGUACAAGAACUAAAAUGUAAGGACAGAGUCUUCAACACUCCCCUUUGUGAGCAGGGCAUUGUGGGAUUUGGUAUCGGUGCAGCUGUCGCCGGUGCCACAGCCAUUGCCGAGAUCCAGUUCGCCGACUACAUCUACCCUGCUUUUGACCAGAUCGUCAACGAAGCAGCCAAGUACCGCUACCGGUCUGGCAACUUGUUCGACUGCGGCAGCCUCACCAUCCGAGCGCCGUGGGGGUGUGUCGGCCACGGGUCACUCUACCACUCCCAGAGCCCCGAGGCCUUCUUCGCCCACUGCCCUGGCAUCAAGGUCGUAAUACCUCGUAGUCCAGUGCAGGCAAAGGGGCUGCUCCUCGCCUGCAUCGCUGACCAGAACCCCUGCAUAUUCUUUGAGCCCAAGAUCCUGUACAGAGCAGCAGUGGAGCAGGUUCCCGUGGAGCCCUACACCCUCCCUCUCUCACAGGCCGAGGUCCUACAGGAAGGAAGUGACGUCACUGUGGUUGCCUGGGGGACACAGAUCCAUGUGAUGAGGGAGGUGGCCGAUAUGGCUCAAGAGAAACUGGGAGUGUCUUGCGAGCUCAUCGAUCUACAGACCAUCCUGCCCUGGGAUGUUGAAACAAUUUGUAAGUCGGUGGUGAAAACCGGACGCUUGCUCAUCAGCCAUGAAGCGCCAAUAACCGGAGGCUUUGCUGCUGAAAUUAGCUCUUCAGUACAGGAGCAGUGCUUCCUUAACCUGGAGGCUCCCAUCAGCAGGGUCUGCGGUUAUGACACCCCCUUCCCUCACAUCUUUGAGCCCUUCUACAUCCCAGACAAGUGGAAGUGCUUUGAUGCAAUUAAGAAGAUGAUCAACUACUGAACACCCGUCAGAGCCAACCUCUGGUGACCCUGAACUCCACGCUCUCUCCUCUUCCUCUUCAUUUAUCAAAUCGGCGGAGAGCAGCCAGGAAAAAACACGUUGUUGACCAUCCAGGAAGCAGUAUCUAGAUGGGCUCCAUGUCCCGCAGUGUCUUCCAGCUAAAAGACUGUUACAGCGCCUCCGAUCCGCUCUAUAUGGUGGCUCGCUGCUUUGGCGUCGACGCCAUGCACAUAAUUUGACUUCCUCUUAAAUAAGUGUUGGAUACUGUGUCAGCGUAUUUGAUUGACUUUAUUGCAUUUGCCUAUCCGUGCUGUUACCUUUUUUAAAUCCAAUGUGUCCAGCUCUGCUCUAAUCUUUAUUUAGUUUGCCCUUCACUAAUCCAUAUUGUAUUAAUAUAGUUGAUUUCUGGUUUUUAAGGAAAAUAAAGUAAUCCGAUUUGGUGAAAACAUUUGA